GAGUCCGGACAUGGUGCCCAGGCGUCCCGAUGUGACGCCGCUCGAAGGCUCGGAUGUGUGUCCUACAUUUACAGCGCACUUGGUCAUGAGACACCGCGCAAUACUACGCCACGCGCGCACGCGCUCAAUUUACUAUGACGCGCUUCACUCUCGUGAUGGCGGAUAGGUGUGAAGAUGAAAACGGGCAGAUGGAUAAGUAGGAGGGGGGAAAUAGAAAUAAAAUACCAUCAUAAAAGUAAUACAAGUAUCUAUACACAUCAUUUCAAAUACAUACACAAAU
Molecule: long non-coding RNA, 280 nt
Organism: Syngnathus acus (greater pipefish)
Lineage: Eukaryota; Metazoa; Chordata; Actinopteri; Syngnathiformes; Syngnathidae
Exons: 2
Source: RefSeq, a predicted model, not a curated record